GAGGAUGUGCGUCUAAGGAGCUGGGAGCAAAGUAUGCAAGGACCUGAGAGUGAGAGGUGUGCUGUGGAGGACUAAGGUUACAGUGUUAUCAGACA
Non-coding RNA from Chelonoidis abingdonii (Abingdon island giant tortoise), 95 nucleotides. NCBI's taxonomy places the organism in Eukaryota, Metazoa, Chordata, Testudines, Testudinidae. The record is from RefSeq and is a predicted model, not a curated record.